This 393-nucleotide ribosomal RNA is filed under the name Triticum aestivum (bread wheat). RNAcentral describes it as "partial small subunit ribosomal RNA". Lineage: Eukaryota; Viridiplantae; Streptophyta; Magnoliopsida; Poales; Poaceae. The record is from RNAcentral.
AUGUCAGUGGCAGGAGGUGGCGGCCACGCGGUGGCUCAUGGCACGGAGGAGAAGUUCGCCGAAGGGGAGGUGGUGCCGGGCAUGGCUGCUCCGGUCUUGGUUCUGCCUGGAUCUCCUGCCCGGCGCUUGGAACCACGCCGCCUCUGCCCGGAUCUGCUCGGCCGCCGCCUAAAAUCCGUCGCGCCGCCACGUCUCGCCGGAAACCAGCGCCACGCACAGGGUGCGCAACGCAGCUUUGGCCGCCACGCGAGAGGGGGCGUGUGGAGCUAUGGGGAGGUAGGAGGAGGCAUGGGCUGUGGAGCUGCUCACCGGUUGCCUCCGCCGGCGGAAGGGAGGUGGCCGUUGUUAUGCCACCGCGGCCAUGCAGCCAUGGCUCGGGAGGGGGAAAGAUAA